AGAUCUGCAAAACAAAGACAAAAAAUACUUUCGUGAGGCAUAAAGAAAACUCAGCAAAACAAACUUCAUUUUGUCUUAUUCAUUAUUCAUGUUAUUUUAGAAUUUACUUCUUGCAUGUAUUAGAAGGUACCUCAUUCAGAUCUAAAAUAGAAUAUAUUAUUGUUGCCCCCACAACUAUGUUUUUCCUAUAUUCUCAAUUUUAGCUGGUAGUCAUUCAGUACAUCCAGGUACCCAGGCUCAAAAAUCUUGGAAUAAUCCUCAAUACUCUCUUCGUUACUGCUUGGAUUUAAUCAGUCACUAGACUUUUUUGAUUUAACUACUAAAACAUCCUAAUAAAUGUUGGUUGGAUAAGUAAACCAAUGAAUACAUUUAUGAAAAAAUAAAAAAUACACAUUCUUUAUCUCAGAGGAGGAAAACAUAGAAAUGAAUUUGGAAACAAAACAAAGCAAAACAAGACUCCAUCUACACAUUGCAGCCAGACUGACUUGGAGUUUGAAUGCUGGCACCACCGCUUACAGGCUGGAUGAAUUAAGACAAUUUUCAUAGAUUCCCAGGGCCUCAGUGUUCCUAUUUCCAAACCAAUAAUAGUCAUCUUUUUAUUGCAGGGCUGUUGUAUAAAUUUACAUAUGUAAAAAUCAGGUGUCAAAUAAGAGCUAUUGUGAUAUUAGCUAUAGCACUAGGAAAAUAAACAGUAUGUUACACUUAUGAAAAUUCUUUGCUCAUCUUACACAGGGGCAAGAAAUAAAAACUCCUGGCAAUUGUUGGUGUUGCCAAUGGUGCAACAUACCAUGAAGAUUAAGGAAACUUAGCAACAGUGAACUUGGACCUGCUAAUAGCUGUCUAACCCCGAGCUCAUCACUUGAAAAUGAAGAUAUCAAACAAAAAAAGGAAAGUAUAAUUUA
Long non-coding RNA from Gorilla gorilla gorilla (western lowland gorilla), 902 nucleotides. RefSeq lists it as uncharacterized. The record is from RefSeq and is a predicted model, not a curated record. NCBI's taxonomy places the organism in Eukaryota, Metazoa, Chordata, Mammalia, Primates, Hominidae. The transcript is spliced from 2 exons.